Bos taurus (domestic cattle) is the source of this 1393-nucleotide long non-coding RNA. Lineage: Eukaryota; Metazoa; Chordata; Mammalia; Artiodactyla; Bovidae. The record is from Ensembl.
GUGUAGUUCCUCCCCAGCCAAUAGCUCCUGAAGUUUUAUGUGUAGGUUUCAGCUUGAUAUCACUUACUCAGAACCAUCACUCUGGACCACGGACACCUCCCCUCACCCCCAUCCCGAAUCCGGCCCUAUUUUUCUUCCUGGGACUUAGCCCUUGGCUCUCCCUCCGGCUUCACCGCUGGGACGUGAACCCAGCCAGGAAGAGCUCAGCUGAACUCUGGUCCAGAAGGACCAGAAGGAAUUAAUUCCUCGCUAUCCCCGGUUCCUCCAAUACAGCCCAGCCUAGUGGCUCAAGGUAAAUACUAGCAGAAGAAAUGAAUGAAUGAAGCACUUUCCCACCUUGUUAACCAGCUACAGUGGAAAGCAAACAGAUGCAGUACUUGCUCCGGAUGUCCCUGAGGCUGAGAUGGGAGGGCAAGAGCUGACGCGCCUACUUCUUCCUAGAGGCCAAGGUCCCAGCCAAGUAGAAGGCAGAAAAGAAACAGCAGUUACAAGUGUGCAACCCCUUUCUCCCCGCUCCCCCCACUCGCUGCUUGGACUGAACAGAAUCCAGAAAACUGAGGGAGAAUCCGGCUGAGUGGACCUGGAGUCUGCAGGGACCGAGUUGAAACAACCUUCACUGGGCGUGGUUGGCGCCCAACCUGGGAGGAAUCAGUGUGAGAUUCUGGCGCCACCUAGACGUCAGGGUGGGGAUUGCAAGCAUAGCGGGGAUGGCGACUCCCAGGGAAAUUUGGGCAGUUCAUCCCUGGGUCAUAUCCUGGGAUGAGAGGCCCACGUCAGGCAGCCCCUCCCUUCAGAUGGACACUGUGUGUGACCACUGUGUGAACGAGUGUAACAAGUGUAAGGUGUGGUUCUGAGAAGGGCCUGGGAGGGGACUGGGACCCCAGCCCUUGGCUGAGACUCUCGUCUCCACCCAGUCUGUCCUCCACGUUGGCUUAGUGUGGCCUUUCAACACCAUGCCAGAGUCUCCCGAGCCUGUUGACCACUCAUGACCUUCUUCCGAGACCCUAAUACCCAUUCUUGCGCAGUCUCCCUCCCUCCCAGCCCCUCUCAGAACUGUUUUCUUGGGUGUGGUGCUGACCUAGACCACGGGACUUGGGUGAAACCCCAGCUCUGACCCUGUACUGUCUGCAUGGGUUUAUUCCCAUACGAGGAAGUUCCUUCUUCUGGGCUGGUAUAGCCUUUGGCUCCCUCAUGUGUAAAAUAGGGAUCAUGAGGGUGGUGGGCAUCCCCGCGUGCCGGGCGGGAAGGGGCUGACGUGUGCAGUAACACCACUGCCCUCUCCGCCUGAGGGGCACUGCCCACCCACCCUCUCUCCCCCGCUGGACCGCCUGGGCCAGUCCUCUCCCCUCUUAGUCUCUGGCCAAGGAGCCGCUGCGAUUACACAGACGCGACC